This 265-nucleotide ribosomal RNA is filed under the name uncultured prokaryote. RNAcentral describes it as "partial 16S ribosomal RNA". It matches the Rfam family "Bacterial small subunit ribosomal RNA", at positions 355 to 634 of the family's 1533-position model. The record is from RNAcentral.
UGGGGAAUAUUGGGCAAUGGGCGAAAGCCUGACCCAGCAACGCCGCGUGAAGGAAGAAGGCUUUCGGGUUGUAAACUUCUUUUAUGUGGGACGAAAAAAAUGACGGUACCACGUGAAUAAGCCACGGCUAACUACGUGCCCGCAGCCGCGGUAAUACGUAGGUGGCAAGCUUUGUCCGGAUUUACUGGGUGUAAAGGGCGCGUAGGCGGGAAUGCAAGUCAGAUGUGAAAGCCGGGGGCUCAACCAAUGAAAGGCAUUUGAAACU